AAACGAAGGUUACUUCGGAAAAAAAGGUAAGGUAAGCUUGGCGGGCCUUGCCCCUUGAGGAAGCGCAAGUGGAAUUAAGGCAUAUGUCACCAGCUCCAACAGAAGAGGUCGUACUCAACUGGAAUUACGAAAAGGAGUUAGGCGGGAGUCUGAAAAAAGAAACAAAAAGAUGACCAAAUUAAAAGGAGCGGGCCGUUUUGACCUGAUCCGGAAAAUGGUAUCCUGAGAAGGGAUGCGAUGACUACCAUUAGCCAGGAGGCGUAAAGAAAUCGAGCGAAGCUCCGGCCGGAAAUAUUAUUUAAGGUCGAAAAGAUGGAAAUGCGACUAAGGGAUUGAAUGACAAGGCAAGUUGCUAAAUCCCAAACGGUAGCAGUAAGAAUGUUACCGACUGCGAAUAAAAAAGUAAUCUGAGAGAUAAAAGGCCAGACCCGUACCCUUGGGCAAACACUUCACCAAAAGUGGAGGUCGACCUGGGGGAAAAGGAAAGGAAUGAAACCGUCGCGGAUAAAUUCCUAGCCGUGUCUGAAUAAAGAAAUCGGCAGAUGACAAUAUUCAGGCUGAGAGGCCUUACUCAAUAACUUGAUUGGGAAAUCAAUUAAGCGGUCCUGCUACGAGAUCGAUAGCUUCCUUGCCAGGAAGAAUAGCGUCGGGGAACUGACAACCUGCGAAAGUGGAGUGCCAAAUGUUAGUGAAGGACGAGAGUGUGGCGAGCUCC
This 715-nucleotide non-coding RNA is filed under the name unclassified sequences. Its description in RNAcentral is "MISL RNA". It matches the Rfam family "MISL RNA". The record is from Rfam by way of RNAcentral.